GUCGAGGUGCCGGAGUGGUUAACGGGUAUGACUCGAAUUCGGUGAUGCUUAAACACAUCACAAACAUCCGUCAUCAUAUGACAUUUGUCGCACAGGUUCGAAUCCUGUCCUCGACG
Non-coding RNA from Peziza echinospora, 116 nucleotides. The record is from the annotation of a GenBank genome assembly. NCBI's taxonomy places the organism in Eukaryota, Fungi, Ascomycota, Pezizomycetes, Pezizales, Pezizaceae.